Molecule: transfer RNA, 82 nt
Filed under: Ostreobium quekettii
Lineage: Eukaryota; Viridiplantae; Chlorophyta; Ulvophyceae; Bryopsidales; Ostreobiaceae
Description: tRNA-Tyr
Rfam family: tRNA
About the family: Transfer RNA (tRNA) molecules are approximately 80 nucleotides in length.
Source: RNAcentral
GGGUCGGUGCCCGAGCGGUUAAAGGGGACGGAUUGUAAAUCCGUUGGCUACGCCUUCACUGGUUCAAAUCCAGUUCGACCCA